This is a long non-coding RNA of Quercus robur (English oak), 1193 nucleotides long. RefSeq lists it as uncharacterized. The record is from RefSeq and is a predicted model, not a curated record. Lineage: Eukaryota; Viridiplantae; Streptophyta; Magnoliopsida; Fagales; Fagaceae. The transcript is spliced from 7 exons.
CUUGAUAAAAAAUUACAAAAUUUUCACCCCUUGAAAAAAGCCCACAACAAAAUUUUCAUCCCUUGAAAAAACCCACAACAAAAUUUAAAAGCCCAGAACGUAACCCACAAACACAUAGAGCUCUUAUCACUCUCUCGUUGAAAGCAUGAAACUGAGAAAGCAUAGAAAUCUCACAGAGCUCAUGGAAAUCUCAUAGAGCUCGACGAUCAUAGAGAUCUCAUAGAGCUCGACGAUCAUCGAUUAGGUAUGUAAUCGCAUAGCUCCGAUUAGGCACGAGUUGAUAUCGGUUUUGUGACUCUUCAUCGUCGUGUUUCUCAGCUCCGAUUAGGUUGUAGCACAGAAAGCGAAGGAAGUUGAAAUCACUGUGCAGGACUCGCUUCUUCUGACGAGGAAUCUGCUCCGAAUUGCUAUAUUCAAUAUUAGUUACAUUAGAGGCCUGUAUAUCAGAGAAAUUUAUCAGCUCUUCCUCCUGAGCAGCUAGCUUGGUGUGGGUUAGACAGUGUGUUACUUUUAAUCUAAUACUUGUUUGGAGAUUCCAUGAAUCUAGAGCGCUCAUGUGCUUUGAUAAAGGGGCAAGAGAUCAAGAUGAGAUACAAUAUAGUAUUUUUAAUUUCUUAUCCUUGAUGGUAUCUUUACAAUUAUAACUAACUUAUGUUGUGUGAAUAAUAUUUUACAGUGUGAGUUCACAAAUAGAAACUUCAAUUCCUCGGAAACAUGGACUUGCUAUUGCUGGUUAUGAGUUGGCUUUCUUGAAGCAUGUUGAUUUUGAUGUUGUUCGCUGUGCUGUGAUUGCUAGUCCUGGUUUCACAAAGGUUUGGUGAUCAAUUUCAUCAUCACUUAUUGUUGGAGGUAGAAAGAAGACAGCUGAGACCUAUUAUCGAGAACAAGUCACGGAUAGUUCUUGUGCGUACAACAUCAGGAUACAAGUGGCUUUGCUGUUAAUUUGGGUUGCUAAUAUAAGGAAACAUGUGAAUAGUUUAGAAUUUGAGAAGGGACAUGUAUAUAAAGCUGUGCAUGUAACCGAUUUUUAUUUCCUUUCAUUACCUUUGGCCUUAUAUAGGAUGUAUUAGGAUUUGUUCUGUUCACAUACUACCAUGUCAGAUUGUGCAAAGAACCUUGUUUUUACAAUUUAAAACUCUUGCCCCUGUUGACUAUUGAAUUAGAUCAUAUAAAUAUUGAUCGGGUUAAUCUGA